RNAcentral lists this long non-coding RNA (1498 nucleotides) under Triticum aestivum (bread wheat). RNAcentral's name for it is "long non-coding RNA (TAES_LNC012502)". Lineage: Eukaryota; Viridiplantae; Streptophyta; Magnoliopsida; Poales; Poaceae. The record is from RNAcentral.
UCCACACUUACCCGCGUCCUUAUAACCGCCCCUCGGCGUCCGCGCGACGGUUUCUACCGCCCGCCGCCACCAGGGUUUUCUUCCCCCCUCGCCUUCUUCCUCCUCCUCCCCACGCAAUCCACGGAGGAACCGAGAGCGCGUAGGAGCGCAGCCAUGGCGUGACCGUGUCCAAGAUUCUUCCCCGUCACCGGCUCCGUGUCCAGGAGCUCCGCCGUCCACGUCUUCCUCGCCUACGUCCAGGAGGCCGCUCCCGAACGACUACAGCCACCACUCCUUCCUCUUCGGCCGCCGCCACGUCGUCGUCAAAGUCCUCCGCCUCCGUCCGCUACUCGACCGACGGAUCACACCUCCGUGGUCCUGGUGAGCUCCUCUUCCUCCCCAACUCUUUCCCCUCUCGAUAGCGUUCUCUGACAUCGAGUUCGUUCGACGAUCUCAAGAAGCCGCCGCCGCGCGGCAUGGUCACCGGCGUCGCUCCGGUGACCCUCUGCACGCCCCCUUUGUGCCGCGCGCACCGCAUGUCGUAGUAGAACCUUCCGCCGCCUUUUGUUUCGUCCUUAGCGAGCUCCUACGCCACGGACCUCGCCGCCGGCGUCGAAUCCGUCGGUCCCCGGCCACACCGCGUGCACCGCUAGAUGCGCGGCUUCGUGCUCUUCUGUUCGCACACAGCGCCGCGCCCUUUUGGUUGUCGGAACCCACUCCAGUGAGGUCUCCGCCGCUAUGGAAGGUCACCGCCGGCAGAUGGAUCAUGAGCUCGAUACCCAUCCGAACCAGAGGGGAAUAAGAGCCUCCUUUUAUUUUGCAUCCUCUCCGAAUCUUGCUCCUAUCGUAACUCGAGCUUCUUGCCUGCAAUCGAAUUUAUUAUUUCGCUGAAGCCUUUAUUCAAUUGCAUUUUCAGGCUGCUGAACAUGAUGGAUGAUGAUUUAUUCAAGUGAGUCUUAGUCGGUGUUUGUUUCGAGGGACUUUUUGGUGUAGGGAGUAGAAAAAGUCCCUAGCAAACCAAACAGGAUGAGACUUUUUUGGGACUUUUUGCUAAAAAUCCUUAGAAGCACCUUUUUGAGAGUCUUUUUCAAAAAGUCUUAGGGACUAGAAAAAGUCCUAGAACUAGAGAAGCCUUUAAUCAGGACUCACUACUGUUGUAUAUUUUAAUAGGUUGGACACUGAGCUUUUGGGGGUUUAUUCCGAAGAUGCAACCAAUGAUGACAAGCCCCUGGAGGAUGAACCUCAGAAUGAGCGGACAUGUAAAAAUUCGUUUAUAGUUUAAUGAGUUCUUUGGUGCUUCUUAUUAUUGCUUAAUUCUUUCCCGACCUUUGUUGAUUGCUUGUUUAUUGCUGAAAAUGCAACUUGGGCACCUGAGAACUUAUAUUUUGUUGUUUCCCAUGGUGCAUCAAAAUAUUUUCUACAUGUCUUUGAUUUCUGUUCGAUAACGAUGCAGGUGAUGAUGAUUUCAAGCACCUGUCACAGAAUGCAGAAGAUCAUGUGCCAGCCUUUGACGAACUUG